RNAcentral lists this ribosomal RNA (475 nucleotides) under uncultured bacterium. RNAcentral's name for it is "bacterial SSU rRNA". It matches the Rfam family "Bacterial small subunit ribosomal RNA", at positions 335 to 802 of the family's 1533-position model. The record is from RNAcentral.
ACUCCUACGGGAGGCAGCAGUGGGGAAUAUUGCACAAUGGGCGCAAGCCUGAUGCAGCCAUGCCGCGUGUGUGAAGAAGGCCUUCGGGUUGUAAAGCACUUUCAGUUGUGAGGAAGGUGGUGUCGUUAAUAGCGGCAUCAUUUGACGUUAGCAACAGAAGAAGCACCGGCUAACUCCGUGCCAGCAGCCGCGGUAAUACGGAGGGGGUUAGCGUUGUUCGGAAUUACUGGGCGUAAAGCGCGCGUAGGCGGACUAGAAAGUUGGGGGUGAAAUCCCCGGGGGCUCAACCUCGGAACUGCCUUCAAAACUCCUAGUCUAGAGUUCGAGAGAGUGAGUGGAAUUCCAAGUGUAGAGGUGAAAUUCGUAGAUAUUUGGAGGAACACCAGUGGCGAAGGCGGCUCACUGGCUCGAUACUGACGCUGAGGUGCGAAAGUGUGGGGAGCAAACAGGAUUAGAUACCCUGGUAGCUACGAGU